Molecule: ribosomal RNA, 755 nt
Filed under: Kitasatospora aureofaciens
Lineage: Bacteria; Bacillati; Actinomycetota; Actinomycetes; Kitasatosporales; Streptomycetaceae
Description: bacterial SSU rRNA
Rfam family: Bacterial small subunit ribosomal RNA
Source: RNAcentral
CAUGCAAGUCGAACGGUGAAGCCCUUCGGGGUGGAUCAGUGGCGAACGGGUGAGUAACACGUGGGAAAUCUGCCCUGCACUCUGGGACAAGCCCGGGAAACUGGGUCUAAUACCGGAUAUGACCUUCCUCUGCAUGGGGGUUGGUGGAAAGCUCCGGCGGUGCAGGAUGAUCCCGCGGCCUAUCAGCUUGUUGGUGGGGUAAUGGCCUACCAAGGCGACGACGGGUAGCCGGCCUGAGAGGGCGACCGGCCACACUGGGACUGAGACACGGCCCAGACUCCUACGGGAGGCAGCAGUGGGGAAUAUUGCACAAUGGGCGAAAGCCUGAUGCAGCGACGCCGCGUGAGGGAUGACGGCCUUCGGGUUGUAAACCUCUUUCAGCAGGGAAGAAGCGCAAGUGACGGUACCUGCAGAAGAAGCACCGGCUAACUACGUGCCAGCAGCCGCGGUAAUACGUAGGGUGCGAGCGUUGUCCGGAAUUAUUGGGCGUAAAGAGCUCGUAGGCGGCUUGUCACGUCGGGUGUGAAAGCCCGGGGCUUAACCCCGGGUCUGCAUUCGAUACGGGCAGGCUUGAGUGUGGUAGGGGAGAUCGGAAUUCCUGGUGUAGCGGUGAAAUGCGCAGAUAUCAGGAGGAACACCGGUGGCGAAGGCGGAUCUCUGGGCCAUUACUGACGCUGAGGAGCGAAAGCGUGGGGAGCGAACAGGAUUAGAUACCCUGGUAGUCCACGCCGUAAACGUUGGGAACUAGGUGUUGG